UACGGGGGGGGUAAGCGUUGUUCGGAAUUACUGGGCGUAAAGGGCUCGUAGGCGGCCAACUAAGUCGGACGUGAAAUCCCUCAGCUUAACUGGGGAACUGCGUCCGAUACUGGAUGGCUUGGAUUUGGGAGAGGGAUGCGGAAUUCCAGGUGUAGCGGUGAAAUUCGUAGAUAUCGGGAGGAACACCGGUGGCGAAGGCGGCGACCUGGGUAGAUACUGACGCUGAGGUGCGAAAGCGUGGGGAGCAAACAGG
RNAcentral lists this ribosomal RNA (253 nucleotides) under uncultured bacterium. Its description in RNAcentral is "partial 16S ribosomal RNA". It matches the Rfam family "Bacterial small subunit ribosomal RNA", at positions 524 to 776 of the family's 1533-position model. The record is from RNAcentral.